Perognathus longimembris pacificus (Pacific pocket mouse) is the source of this 167-nucleotide long non-coding RNA. RefSeq lists it as uncharacterized. NCBI's taxonomy places the organism in Eukaryota, Metazoa, Chordata, Mammalia, Rodentia, Heteromyidae. The transcript is spliced from 3 exons. The record is from RefSeq and is a predicted model, not a curated record.
GCACACCCCCCAAUUCUCUAGGAUUCUCCCAGACUUAAUAGAACUAGUCUCUCAUGGAAGGGGCUUUAAAAAUGUUAGUGAUGGGCUGGGAAUAUGGCCUAGUGGCAAGAGUGCUUGUUUUGUAUACAUGAAGCCUUGGCACACCACAUAUAUAGAAAACGGCCAGA